UUUCAAUUGAUAAUCUUACAAUAUAUUGCAACUUAUUAGGGCUUACAACAUUUUCUAUAUUUUCUUUUCUGCCUUUACAAGAAAAUAUAACCUUUUGUGCUUGCAUCAAGAGGAUAUGUUAUCAUAUGAAGUUUUUGUGCUGAUAGUUUAUGUUUAACAUUAUAAUUGAUGCUGUAUUGACUUCCUAACUUUGAUAUUAUGUAACAGA
This 208-nucleotide unclassified non-coding RNA is filed under the name Hevea brasiliensis (rubber tree). Lineage: Eukaryota; Viridiplantae; Streptophyta; Magnoliopsida; Malpighiales; Euphorbiaceae. The record is from RNAcentral.